UACGAAGGGUGCAAACGUUGCUCGGAAUCAUUGGGCGUAAAGGGCGCGUAGGCGGCACGGCAAGUCGGGAGUGAAAGCCCGGGGCUCAACCCCGGAGGGUCUUCCGAAACUGCCGAGCUAGAGUGCGGAAGAGGCAACCGGAAUUCCCAGUGUAGCGGUGAAAUGCGUAGAUAUUGGGAAGAACACCGGAGGCGAAGGCGGGUUGCUGGGCCGACACUGACGCUGAGGCGCGAAAGCCAGGGGAGCAAACGGG
This 253-nucleotide ribosomal RNA is filed under the name uncultured bacterium. Its description in RNAcentral is "partial 16S ribosomal RNA". It matches the Rfam family "Bacterial small subunit ribosomal RNA", at positions 524 to 776 of the family's 1533-position model. The record is from RNAcentral.